This 169-nucleotide non-coding RNA is filed under the name chicken gut metagenome. The record is from RNAcentral.
UAUCGUGAGGUGGAAUCUGAAGGAAGCAAAGCUGUAGGCAAAAUCUUGACUCGACGGAUAGGAAUCACAUAUAAAAACUGUAUAAAUUGGACGAGGUUGUCACACAAACUGGAGUCCGAUACUACAAAGAUUUAGAUAGUAAAUGUGGUGAGUAAAUGAGAUGAAAGAG